RNAcentral lists this long non-coding RNA (2893 nucleotides) under Homo sapiens (human). RNAcentral describes it as "HSALNT0314493". The record is from RNAcentral. Lineage: Eukaryota; Metazoa; Chordata; Mammalia; Primates; Hominidae.
GAGGGAAGAGCUGGGAGGUGGGAAGUGGGGGAGGGGCCCCAGACCAGGCUCAGAGCAUAUCCUUGCUCCUGGCCUCCACCGCAGAAGGUGGCUCACCCCUCUGCAUGGAACAGUCUCUCUCCAUUCCCUCUACCCUGGCCUUCCUCCUCCUUGCAGGCCCCAGAAGCUGGAGGGGGCUGGUCGGGGUUGGGCUCACAGACACAGUGGUGGAGCUCACAGAAGUGCCCCCACCCACCAGGAGCCCAGGGUGGGCCUCAGCCAGCCGGGGGUAAUGAGGCAUGGGAUGGACUCUGCGGGCACCAGGCCUGACCCUGAGUGCACCCAGGCGAGGGCGGGGGACACUCAGAUCUGCCCCUCUCUGCAGGAACCUGGUUUCCCCACCCUGGAGGCCAGCGCCAAAGGACGUUCACGUGCAGCUCAACCACACAAUAUAAGAGCUACUGUCUCCAAUUAACACUUGGGGACACUGAGGCAAAGAGCCUGGCUGAAUAUUGUGCCCGUGAAGACAGAGGGACAGCCUAUUUUGUUUGCUGCUGUAUCCUUAGCACCCAGCACAGGGAAGGGGUCCUGGUACAUUUCUAGAAAAAAUGGAGGGGAGCAGAGUCCCCCUGAGCACCUGGGGUUUGAUGCCUCCCUGCCCAGAGCCCUUGCUAUAGCAUAUGCUGGUGAGGGCCGAGGCUCUAGCUCACACUCCAGACCGGGGUAGGGAUCCAAUCUGGCUUUGAAGACAUCAUGCAGAGCCUCUGCUCUGGAGAUGGGAACCUGCAGACAAAUGCCUCCUUAUCUCAAUCCUCUGAAAACAGUUUGACCAGGGAGACAGCGUUCACUCAUGAAUUUAAGAAAAAAAAAAUCCCUGAUCCCUACUUUUUGCCAACUUCAAUGCUGAUUUCUAGUGGUACCAAGAAAAAUGCAACUGAGCCUCCAUCCUCAAGGGGCUCACAGUCUUGUGUGGAGAUAAAAAAUGCAGGCCUGCUGCAGAUCCAAGUCCUGUGACCGGGGUCCUGCCCAAGGGUCCUGCUUCCCUAGGCAUCCCAGAAGUUCAGCCUGCAUCUCGACCAGAGCCUGAGAGUAGACACCUGCCGGUUUAUCUGUCCCUUCAUGUAGCAGGUGACAGAGGUGCCAGGGGCAUGGCAGGGGUACUCUGACACAGCACUGCCCCACGGAGCCCAUGUCCCAGGGCAGAAGACCCACGAUGCACAGCCAGCCAGGUGGCCUCAUCCGAUCAGUCAAAGGCCUCAAUAGAACCAAGACUGACCUCUGCCAAAGAGAGAAUUCUUUCAGCAGACGGCCUUCGGACUUGAGCUAUGACGGCAACUCUUCCCCGGGCCCACCUGACGGACUGGGUUUCUCAGCCUCCACAGUCGUGUGAGCCAAUUCCGGCAGUCAGGGAAAGCCUCCUGGAGACUUGGGCAAGAGACCCAAAGGAAGUGAAGGGGCGGGCAAGAUGGGAGAAGAGCAUCUGGAACAGCAUGUGCAGAGACCCAGGGCCAGGGCUGUCACUGGCAUGUUCCGGGGCUGGAUAACUGCAGUCUCAGAGAAGACCCCCAGAAACCCAAAAUGCUUCCAGCCACAGAGGAGGAGAGCAGCUGGCAGCCAGAAGCAUCCAUUCCAAGUGAGAGACAUCGAAGGGAACAAGGCUUAACCGCCUUGUCUUUGAACAGCACUAAAUGAUUCAGCAAAAGGGAUGAGAGGAAACCUUUGGCCAUGUCACGGGUUCACAGCCAUCUGUAUAUGUUCCUAUAGUCCUGCUUUGUACCUCCAGCCUAAAUGAUGGGGAGGUCGUUUGAAGAUGAGACUGACCCUUCACUACAUGUGCUGCUUCCAACCCCAGAUUCCAUCAGGCUGCACUUCUGAGAUUCAGUGAACUCCCACUCAUCCUUCAAAACCCUAUCUCAAUGUCGCUGCCAUAGCAAAGCCUUCCCUGGCCCCCUCGGGUAGGGAGGGUCUCUCUGCCCACUGGCAGGCCAAGAAGGCCAAGCUCUGCCCUCUGAGAAUCCAUCAGUGUCCCAAGCUGACUUUCCCUAGCCUCGUAUCCCUUCAUUCCAUGAAAGGGGAACUUAGGGUGGAGUGGAAAUUUUGAUCAUCUAAAGGAACAAUAAUUGCUUUCAUUCAUUCAUUUAAACAAUAUGUAUUGAGCACCUACCAAGGACCAGGCCUUGUGCUAAGUGCCCCCACAGAGGUCACAAUAGUCAUAUACUACAAACAAAUACAGCAUCACAAAGGUUGGCGCAUGAAGAGACAGCAGCUAAGGGCAUGGUCCUGGAGCCAGAAUGCCUGGAUUUGAAUCACAGCUCUACUACUUCCCAGCAGCUUGUUGAGCUUAGCCAAGUCUCUAAGCCCCUCUGAGCCUCAGCUUUAUCACCUGUAAAAUAGGGAUAAAAGCAGCAUCUGCCCUAUUCAUCUGUUCACAGGAAUACAUGGCCUAUGGAGGGAAAGUACCCAGGCUCCUGAGUGGGCCCUCCUGGCCCACGGCAGAAGCCGUGUGCAUGUCUGUUCAACAGAUACCUUUGGUGGCCUGUAUGUACCAGGCGCUUCUAUUCUCUGCUGGUCAAGGAAGGCUCACGGUGGAAUAGGAUUUAGCCCCGGGAGAGACAGCAGGGGCAUUCUAAAGACAUCGACUAGCUGGCAUCCUGUGCCAGGCAUCCCAACCUUUUGCGCAUCGCGGCUCACCUGGAAAAGACGUGGGGGUGAGGAAGGAGGUGCCACCUGCAUGAGGCAUGGCAGAAAAGCAUGACAUCACCUUUAUAGUGCAAAGCUUGACAGGAAGAAUAAGAUACAAAGUACUUAAAGAAGAUAAUCGAUAUUGGAUGUGUAUUAAAUUUCCAAGGAAAAUAUUUUUAAAUAUGUAAAUUAAUCUUGAGUUGGCUUCUACAAGCAUAACUUUUUUUUUUCU